UCUAAUCAAGCUCGGAGAUAGCUGGUUCUCCUCGAAAGCUAUUUAGGUAGCGCCUCAUGUAUCACUCUGGGGGGUAGAGCACUGUUUCGGCUAGGGGGUCAUCCCGACUUACCAAACCGAUGCAAACUCCGAAUACCCAGAAGUGCCGAGCAUGGGAGACACACGGCGGGUGCUAACGUCCGUCGUGAAAAGGGAAACAACCCAGACCGCCAGCUAAGGUCCCAAAGUUGUGGUUAAGUGGUAAACGAUGUGGGAAGGCUUAGACAGCUAGGAGGUUGGCUUAGAAGCAGCCACCCUUUAAAGAAAGCGUAAUAGCUCACUAGUCGAGUCGGCCUGCGCGGAAGAUGUAACGGGGCUCAAACCACACACCGAAGCUGCGGGUGUCACGUAAGUGACGCGGUAGAGGAGCGUUCUGUAAGCCUGUGAAGGUGAGUUGAGAAGCUUGCUGGAGGUAUCAGAAGUGCGAAUGCUGACAUGAGUAACGACAAUGGGUGUGAAAAACACCCACGCCGAAAGACCAAGGGUUCCUGCGCAACGUUAAUCGACGCAGGGUUAGUCGGUUCCUAAGGCGAGGCUGAAAAGCGUAGUCGAUGGGAAACAGGUUAAUAUUCCUGUACUUCUGGUUACUGCGAUGGAGGGACGGAGAAGGCUAGGCCAGCUUGGCGUUGGUUGUCCAAGUUUAAGGUGGUAGGCUGAAAUCUUAGGUAAGUCCGGGGUUUCAAGGCCGAGAGCUGAUGACGAGUCGUCUUUUAGAUGACGAAGUGGUUGAUGCCAUCUUCCAAGAAAAGCUUCUAAGCUUCAGGUAACCAGGAACCGUACCCCAAACCGACACAGGUGGUCGGGUAGAGAAUACCAAGGCGCUUGAGAGAACUCGGGUGAAGGAACUAGGCAAAAUGGCACCGUAACUUCGGGAGAAGGUGCGCCGGCUAGGGUGAAGGAUUUACUCCGUAAGCUCUGGCUGGUCGAAGAUACCAGGCCGCUGCGACUGUUUAUUAAAAACACAGCACUCUGCAAACACGAAAGUGGACGCAUAGGGUGUGACGACUGCCCGGUGCCGGAAGGUUAAUUGAUGGGGUUAGCGCAAGCGAAGCUCUUGAUCGAAGCCCCGGUAAACGGCGGCCGUAACUAUAACGGUCCUAAGGUAGCGAAAUUCCUUGUCGGGUAAGUUCCGACCUGCACGAAUGGCGUAACGAUGGCGGCGCUGUCUCCACCCGAGACUCAGUGAAAUUGAAAUCGCUGUGAAGAUGCAGUGUAUCCGCGGCUAGACGGAAAGACCCCGUGAACCUUUACUGUAGCUUUGCACUGGACUUUGAGCCUGCUUGUGUAGGAUAGGUGGGAGGCUUUGAAGCGUGGACGCCAGUUCGCGUGGAGCCAACCUUGAAAUACCACCCUGGCAUGCUUGAGGUUCUAACUCUGGUCCGUAAUCCGGAUCGAGGACAGUGUAUGGUGGGCAGUUUGACUGGGGCGGUCUCCUCCUAAAGAGUAACGGAGGAGUACGAAGGUGCGCUCAGACC
Molecule: ribosomal RNA, 1514 nt
Filed under: metagenome
Description: bacterial LSU rRNA
Rfam family: Bacterial large subunit ribosomal RNA
Source: RNAcentral